RNAcentral lists this transfer RNA (56 nucleotides) under Coemansia sp. RSA 2607. Its description in RNAcentral is "tRNA-Lys". It matches the Rfam family "tRNA", at positions 10 to 63 of the family's 71-position model. From Rfam's summary of the family: Transfer RNA (tRNA) molecules are approximately 80 nucleotides in length. Lineage: Eukaryota; Fungi; Kickxellomycota; Kickxellomycetes; Kickxellales; Kickxellaceae. The record is from RNAcentral.
GCUCAAUCGGUAGAGCGUGAGACUCUUAAUCUCAAGGUUGCGGGUUCGACCCCCGC